This 400-nucleotide ribosomal RNA is filed under the name uncultured bacterium. RNAcentral describes it as "partial 16S ribosomal RNA". It matches the Rfam family "Bacterial small subunit ribosomal RNA", at positions 360 to 776 of the family's 1533-position model. The record is from RNAcentral.
AAUCUUCCACAAUGGGCGAAAGCCUGAUGGAGCAAUGCCGCGUGCAGGAAGACGCUUUUCGGAGUGUAAACUGCUUUUCUGAAGGAAGAUUAUGACGGUACUUCAGGAAUAAGGAUCGGCUAACUACGUGCCAGCAGCCGCGGUAAUACGUAGGAUCCAAGCGUUAUCCGGAAUUACUGGGCGUAAAGCGUGCGCAGACGGUUUGAUAGGUCGAUUGCGAAAUCCCGUGGCUCAACCAUGUGGACUGUAAUCGAAACCAUCUGACUAGAGGUAGGUAGAGGCAAGUGGAAUUUCUGGUGUAGGGGUGACAUCCGUAGAUAUCAGAAGGAACACCAAUGGCGAAGGCAGCUUGCUGGGCCUUACCUGACGUUCAGGCACGAAAGCGUGGGGAGCAAACAGG